Molecule: ribosomal RNA, 497 nt
Filed under: uncultured bacterium
Lineage: Bacteria
Description: partial 16S ribosomal RNA
Rfam family: Bacterial small subunit ribosomal RNA
Source: RNAcentral
GAUGAACGCUGGCGGCGUGCCUAAUACAUGCAAGUCGAGCGAACGGACGAGAAGCUUGCUUCUCUGGUGUUAGCGGCGGACGGGUGAGUAACACGUGGAUAACCUACCUAUAAGACUGGGAUAACUUCGGGAAACCGUAGCUAAUACCGGAUAAUAUUUUGAACCGCAUGGUUCAAAAGUGAAAGACGGUCUUGCUGUCACUUAUAGAUGGAUCCGCGCUGCAUUAGCUAGUUGGUAAGGUAACGGCUUACCAAGGCAACGAUGCAUAGCCGACCUGAGAGGGUGAUCGGCCACACUGGAACUGAGACACGGUCCAGACUCCUACGGGAGGCAGCAGUAGGGAAUCUUCCGCAAUGGGCGAAAGCCUGACGGAGCAACGCCGCGUGAGUGAUGAAGGUUUUCGGAUCGUAAAACUCUGUUAUUAGGGAAGAACAUAUGUGUAAGUAACUGUGCACAUCUUGACGGUACCUAAUCAGAAAGCCACGGCUAACUACGUG